RNAcentral lists this ribosomal RNA (253 nucleotides) under uncultured bacterium. Its description in RNAcentral is "partial 16S ribosomal RNA". It matches the Rfam family "Bacterial small subunit ribosomal RNA", at positions 524 to 776 of the family's 1533-position model. The record is from RNAcentral.
UACGGAGGGGGCUAGCGUUGUUCGGAAUUACUGGGCGUAAAGCGCACGUAGGCGGCUUUGUAAGUUAGAGGUGAAAGCCCGGGGCUCAACUCCGGAAUUGCCUUUAAGACUGCAUCGCUAGAAUUGUGGAGAGGUAAGUGGAAUUCCGAGUGUAGAGGUGAAAUUCGUAGAUAUUCGGAAGAACACCAGUGGCGAAGGCGACUUACUGGACACAUAUUGACGCUGAGGUGCGAAAGCGUGGGUAGCAAACGGG